CGGGGUGCAGCAGGCGCGAAAACUUUACAAUGCUGGCAACAGCGAUAAGGGGACCUCGAGUGCCAGGAUACAAUCCUGGCUGUCGUAAUGCCUAAAAAGCAUUGCAUAGCAAGGGCCGGGCAAGACCGGUGCCAGCCGCCGCGGUAACACCGGCGGCUCGAGUGGUAACCGCUAUUAUUGGGUCUAAAGGGUCUGUAGCCGGCUGACUAAGUCUCUUGGGAAAUCUGGCAGCUCAACUGUCAGGCUUUCAGGAGAUACUGAUCGGCUCGAGACCGGGAGAGGUGAGAGGUACCUCAGGGGUAGGGGUGAAAUCUUGUAAUCCUUGAGGGACCACCAGUGGCGAAGGCGUCUCACCAGAACGGAUCUGACGGCAAGGGACGAAAGCUAGGGGCACGAACCGGAUUAGAUACCCGGGUAGUCCUAGCCGUAAACGAUACUCGCUAGGUGUCGGCCACGGUGCGACCGUGGUCGGUGCCGUAGGGAAGCCGUGAAGCGAGCCACCUGGGAAGUACGGCCGCAAGGCUGAAACUUAAAGGAAUUGGCGGGGGAGCACAAG
This 556-nucleotide ribosomal RNA is filed under the name uncultured archaeon. RNAcentral's name for it is "bacterial SSU rRNA". It matches the Rfam family "Archaeal small subunit ribosomal RNA", at positions 326 to 882 of the family's 1478-position model. The record is from RNAcentral.